UCUGGCGACCGGCGCACGGGUGAGUAACACGUAUCCAACCUGCCCUUUACUCGGGGAUAGCCUUUCGAAAGAAAGAUUAAUACCCGAUAGCAUAAUGAUUCCGCAUGGUUUCAUUAUUAAAGGAUUCCGGUAAAGGAUGGGGAUGCGUUCCAUUAGGUUGUUGGUGAGGUGACGGCUCACCAAGCCUUCGAUGGAUAGGGGUUCUGAGAGGAAGGUCCCCCACAUUGGAACUGAGACACGGUCCAA
RNAcentral lists this ribosomal RNA (246 nucleotides) under uncultured bacterium. RNAcentral's name for it is "partial 16S ribosomal RNA". It matches the Rfam family "Bacterial small subunit ribosomal RNA", at positions 87 to 334 of the family's 1533-position model. The record is from RNAcentral.